GACGAACGCUGGCGGCGUGCUUAACACAUGCAAGUCGAGCGGUAAGGCCCCUUCGGGGGUACACGAGCGGCGAACGGGUGAGUAACACGUGGGUGACCUGCCCUCAGCUCUGGGAUAAGCCUGGGAAACUGGGUCUAAUACCGGAUAUGACUCCAUGAUGCAUGUUGUGGGGUGGAAAGCCUUGUGCGGCUGAGGAUGGGCCCGCGGCCUAUCAGCUUGUUGGUGGGGGNGA
Molecule: ribosomal RNA, 232 nt
Filed under: uncultured bacterium
Lineage: Bacteria
Description: partial 16S ribosomal RNA
Rfam family: Bacterial small subunit ribosomal RNA
Source: RNAcentral